Molecule: ribosomal RNA, 301 nt
Filed under: uncultured bacterium
Lineage: Bacteria
Description: partial 16S ribosomal RNA
Rfam family: Bacterial small subunit ribosomal RNA
Source: RNAcentral
CAGUAGCCGCGGUAAGACAGAGGAUGCAAGCGUUAUCCGGAAUGAUUGGGCGUAAAGCGUCUGUAGGUGGCUUUUCAAGUCCGCCGUCAAAUCCCAGGGCUCAACCCUGGACAGGCGGUGGAAACUACCAAGCUGGAGUACGGUUGGGGCAGAGGGAAUUUCCUGUGGAGCGGUGAAAUGCGUUGAGAUCGGAAAGAACACCAACGGCGAAAGCACUCUGCUGGGCCGACACUGACACUGAGAGACGAAAGCUAGGGGAGCAAAUGGGAUUAGAUACCCCCGUAGUCCCUGUCUCUUAUAA